GGGGAUAUGGCUUAUUUAGUAGAGUGCUUGCCUUGCAUGCAAAAGGUCCUGGGUUCAAUCCCCAGCACCA
Molecule: transfer RNA, 70 nt
Filed under: Ictidomys tridecemlineatus (thirteen-lined ground squirrel)
Lineage: Eukaryota; Metazoa; Chordata; Mammalia; Rodentia; Sciuridae
Description: Spermophilus tridecemlineatus (thirteen-lined ground squirrel) tRNA
Rfam family: tRNA
About the family: Transfer RNA (tRNA) molecules are approximately 80 nucleotides in length.
Source: Rfam by way of RNAcentral